RNAcentral lists this transfer RNA (73 nucleotides) under Felis catus (domestic cat). It matches the Rfam family "tRNA". From Rfam's summary of the family: Transfer RNA (tRNA) molecules are approximately 80 nucleotides in length. RNAcentral also lists the same sequence under 1 other name. The record is from Rfam by way of RNAcentral. Lineage: Eukaryota; Metazoa; Chordata; Mammalia; Carnivora; Felidae.
ACCUGGCUGGCUCAGUCGGUGGAGCAUGCAACUUUUGAUCUCGAGGUUGUGAGUUCAAGCCCCACGUUGGGUG